RNAcentral lists this long non-coding RNA (584 nucleotides) under Lathyrus oleraceus (garden pea). RNAcentral's name for it is "Pisum sativum (pea) long non-coding RNA (PSAT_LNC012667)". The record is from RNAcentral. Lineage: Eukaryota; Viridiplantae; Streptophyta; Magnoliopsida; Fabales; Fabaceae.
GGCUUCGGUGCAGAUGGGCUGCCUUCAGGGUUUCUUUACUCUGAAUUCUCCGGGUAGGCAGGGUUCCUAUGCCAAAGUUUCUAUCCGUCCUUCUCUGUUCUCUCUCUUUCUUUUUCCUCAAGGUUUUGUUCCAAGGAAACCUCAGAGUGUUUUGCUUCUCUUCCUUCUUUCUCCAGUAAAUCUCCCAGUGUAAACUCCAAGUGUAACUCCCCUACUGAAACUUCAGUAUUUAUAGACUAAUUUCGUGGGUAAUGGGCUUGGAAUGAGGGAGACCCAAGUCCAAAAUAAUUUGUUAUAUUUUAUUUAUUUAUUUAUUUUAAUUAUUUAAUUAAUUAAUUAAUUAAUUAAUUAAUUAAAAAAAAAAUUCUCUUUUUUUUUUUUUUUUUUUUUUUAUUACUGAAGUGCUGGUAUUUAUAGUGAUAAUGGUGACCUUUUGGGCUCAGAAUGAAGCCCGAAAUUUUUGUUGUCUGUCAGCUUCGCUAGGCGAGCGCGUAGCGAACAGGCCAGUUUGGGCCAUUUUCUGGAUUGGGCCAUCCGUGAGCUGGGCCUUUGUUUCUUCAAGAUCAGUGUUAUAUAUGAGUCGG